AUUUAAAUAGCUUAAUUUAAAGCAUAAUAUUGAAGAUAUUAAGAUAAAUAAUUUAUUUUUUAAAUA
This 66-nucleotide transfer RNA is filed under the name Henschiella sp. PJ-2015. Its description in RNAcentral is "tRNA-Phe". Lineage: Eukaryota; Metazoa; Arthropoda; Insecta; Hemiptera; Enicocephalidae. The record is from RNAcentral.